UCCAGACUCCUACGGGAGGCAGCAGUGGGGGAUAUUGCACAAUGGGGGGAACCCUGAUGCAGCGACGCCGCGUGGGUGAAGGAGUGCUUCGGCAUGUAAAGCCCUAUCGGCAGGGAAGAAGCAAGACGGUACCUGUCGAAUAAGCCACGGCUAACUACGUGCCGGCAGCCGCGGGAAUACGUAGGUGGCAAGCGUUGUCCGGAUUUACUGGGUGUAAAGGGCGUGUAGCCGGGCUUACAAGUCAGAUGUGAAAUCCGGGGGCUCAACCCCCGAACUGCAUUUGAAACUGUAGGUCUUGAGUAUCGGAGAGGCAGGCGGAAUUCCUAGUGUAGCGGUGAAAUGCGUAGAUAUUAGGAGGAACACCAGUGGCGAAGGCGGCCUGCUGGACGACAACUGACGGUGAGGCGCGAAAGCGUGGGGAGCAAACAGGAUUAGAUACCCCCGUA
This 446-nucleotide ribosomal RNA is filed under the name uncultured bacterium. RNAcentral's name for it is "bacterial SSU rRNA". It matches the Rfam family "Bacterial small subunit ribosomal RNA", at positions 330 to 792 of the family's 1533-position model. The record is from RNAcentral.